Long non-coding RNA from Passer domesticus (house sparrow), 283 nucleotides. RefSeq lists it as uncharacterized. The transcript is spliced from 4 exons. Lineage: Eukaryota; Metazoa; Chordata; Aves; Passeriformes; Passeridae. The record is from RefSeq and is a predicted model, not a curated record.
AAUGCGGCAGGGAGGACAAGAGAUAGACAUAGAGCUUCAGUGGAAGGUGGCAUUUCCUGAAGGAAGCACUCCAUCUUCGGUGCCAGCCCCAGCUGCAGGAAGGAAGGCAAUGCCAGACACGGGCACAGGCACAGCAGACUGGGAUGCUGGGACAGUUCCUCCAUUAGCCUGGCGCUCUGAAGUUGUGAAGCCCUCCGAGCAUUCUGCAGAUGUGUCUGCAGGGACGACUUCACCAACUCCUACCUUGGAUGCUGCACAAAAGCCCACCUCCUAUGGCAGGGGU